This 29-nucleotide non-coding RNA is filed under the name Rattus norvegicus (Norway rat). The record is from RNAcentral. Lineage: Eukaryota; Metazoa; Chordata; Mammalia; Rodentia; Muridae.
GCUGAGACUUGGUUCCAAAAUGGUGACUU